Long non-coding RNA from Actinia tenebrosa (Australian red waratah sea anemone), 261 nucleotides. The record is from RefSeq and is a predicted model, not a curated record. Lineage: Eukaryota; Metazoa; Cnidaria; Anthozoa; Actiniaria; Actiniidae.
GGAGACUAUCAAAUUUACGGUCGCACUAGAAAUGAACUUGUGAUGACAGGUUUGGUCGUAUUAAGACACCAAAUCCUAUCAAACUUUGCCUAGUGCAAUAGCUCAAUUACUGUGAAUAGCGACUUUCAGGCUGGACAACAAGUAGAUCUUAUAAGUAUGGUGGAGCCAAGUACAUAAUGCGAUGCUUGACUGGACAAGUAAAAGAUAAUGAUGGCAUUUUAAAAGUAUUUCCUCGAAGAACAAAAAAAAAACAAAACAGAA